Non-coding RNA from Pimephales promelas (fathead minnow), 1270 nucleotides. The record is from RefSeq and is a predicted model, not a curated record. Lineage: Eukaryota; Metazoa; Chordata; Actinopteri; Cypriniformes; Leuciscidae.
GGAUGUUUCUUUCCUAUUGGAUGUUUGUGGUUCUUCGUGAUGUACGCAGGUUUCAACUCACCAUGCCAUUGGUACGAGCUACAGCUACCACGCCCUCGGCAGUUUAAAAAUCAUCUAGUUUCGUCAAAACCACUGUGAGUCAAGAGUUGGAAUUACGAGUAUUGAAAACGAUCAGGAUAGAGUAUUGUAGCAUCUACCGUAUUUAGCAUAGCAUUUAUAUAGUUAUUUAGUAUAUUUUGUAUAGCCUAUUUAGUUAGUAGCAUAGAGUUAGGAUAGCUUCAAGUUAGCAUAGAUUCAUCUGUGUUUCAGGUACAGUGAUCAGGAUGGUAACGGACAUGCACCACACAGCUCGCGCUCAAAAGCGAUGCAGUGCACACUGCUCCUCCUGCAUGGACUCCACCACCGCAGCGGCGUCUUGAUGAGGAGAAGAAGCAAGCAGGAGGAAUUACUCCAGGAGAAACUACGGACAUACUAUUGUAAAGAUGGAGAUUAAGGAAGAACCCUGCAGAAUAAAAGUUGAAGAUACAGAGGAACAAAUAGAUCUGAUGGAAGUGAAUGAGAACAAACAGCAUCAGUUUCAAAAAACGCUUUAUUCCACAAAUGAAGAUGGAAAUGCAGUCGUUUUAAAGACUGAAGAGAAUUUCACACAGAAACAAGCUGGAAAAUCUGGAGUCAAAGGAUCUUUAACCUGUUCUGAGUGUGGAAAGAGAUUCCGAUAUAAAUCAUUUCUGAAUAAACACAUGAUGAUUCACACUGGAGAAAAGCCUUUUACAUGCACUCAGUGUGGAAAGAGUUUCUCUCAGAAAGGCUCUCUCAAAGAUCAUCUGCGCCGUCACUCUGGAGUGAGAUCAUUCGGUUGUGAUCAGUGUGAUAAAACAUUUUUUUUUGGAUCAGACUUAAGAAAACACCUUAAUGUUCAUUCUGCUGCAAAAACUCACUUUUGUUCUGUUUGUGGAAAGUGUUUUUCACGACUACAUUCUUUAAAAGUGCAUGAGCGUCUUCAUACUGGUGUGAAACCUUAUGUGUGCUUUGACUGUGGAAAGACCUACAAUUAAUCCAGCAAUUUAAAAACACACCAGAGAGUUCACACUGAAAAGAAACCGUAAAAGUGUUCACACUGUGAAAAGAGUUUCUCUCAUUCAGGAAACCUGAAUACUCACGAGAGAGUUCAUACUGGAGAGAAAUCACACCAGUCCUCUUCAUGUGGGAAUUGUUUCACCAAAUUUUCUAAUCUACUGAAACAUGAGAAAAAGAAUUGCCUGAAGGUGUG